UAUUAGACUAUAGAAUCGGAAUGUAAUUCAUUGAUUUCGAUAGUUGCCAUUUGUUUUAUAGGAAUCGGAUUCCGAUUCACAUUUCACUCCGGAAUGGGAAUGGCCAAAUCCAUUUACGAUCCAAUCCGGUUUUGAAUUUCAGAUUGGCUCAUUCCAAAGUAAAUUAUUCAAAAUCCUCUUUCAUCAACACCUACCUCCUCUCCCUUCAUCACUUUCCUCUCUCUUAAUCAAAACCCUCUCUCAAAAAUUUUAAAUUUUUAUUUCGACUUCCAUUCCAACAAUGAACCAAACAUUUUGGAUGAUUCAUCAUUCUAUUUUCCAUUCCAAAGCAAUCCAAUUUCAUUUUCUAUUCAUAUUCCAAUCAUAAACCAAACAGGUCCAUUAUUUAGUCGUGUUAUGAUAUUGUAUGAAAUAAUCAUAUGUAAUUCUUUAAAACUUAAGCUGCUG
RNAcentral lists this long non-coding RNA (447 nucleotides) under Ananas comosus (pineapple). RNAcentral's name for it is "long non-coding RNA (ACOM_LNC009464)". The record is from RNAcentral. Lineage: Eukaryota; Viridiplantae; Streptophyta; Magnoliopsida; Poales; Bromeliaceae.